This 73-nucleotide transfer RNA is filed under the name Desmognathus wrighti (pygmy salamander). Its description in RNAcentral is "tRNA-Lys". The record is from RNAcentral. Lineage: Eukaryota; Metazoa; Chordata; Amphibia; Caudata; Plethodontidae.
CAAUAAGAAGCUUUCACGAAUAAGCAACAGCCUUUUAAGCUGUCGUUCGAUGGCCCUCAACCAUCCUUAUUGA